RNAcentral lists this ribosomal RNA (375 nucleotides) under uncultured bacterium. RNAcentral's name for it is "bacterial SSU rRNA". It matches the Rfam family "Bacterial small subunit ribosomal RNA", at positions 524 to 898 of the family's 1533-position model. The record is from RNAcentral.
UACGGAGGGUGCAAGCGUUAAUCGGAAUUACUGGGCGUAAAGCGCACGCAGGCGGUCUGUCAAGUCGGAUGUGAAAUCCCCGGGCUCAACCUGGGAACUGCAUUCGAAACUGGCAGGCUAGAGUCUUGUAGAGGGGGGUAGAAUUCCAGGUGUAGCGGUGAAAUGCGUAGAGAUCUGGAGGAAUACUGGUGGCGAAGGCGGCCCCCUGGACAAAGACUGACGCUCAGUUGCGAAAGCGUGGGGAGCAAACAGGAUUAGAUACCCUGGUAGUCCACGCCGUAAACGAUGUCGAUUUGGAGGUUGUGCCCUUGAGGCGUGGCUUCCGGAGCUAACGCGUUAAAUCGACCGCCUGGGGAGUACGGCCGCAAGGUUAAA